RNAcentral lists this unclassified non-coding RNA (340 nucleotides) under uncultured Inocybe. RNAcentral describes it as "sequence contains ITS1". The stretch from base 1 to 105 matches the Rfam family "5.8S ribosomal RNA", at positions 50 to 154 of the family's 154-position model. Lineage: Eukaryota; Fungi; Basidiomycota; Agaricomycetes; Agaricales; Cortinariaceae. The record is from RNAcentral.
GAAAUGCGAUAAGUAAUGUGAAUUGCAGAAUUCAGUGAAUCAUCGAAUCUUUGAACGCAUCUUGCGCUCCUUGGUAUUCCGAGGAGCAUGCCUGUUUGAGUGUCAUUUAAACUCUCAAACCACAUCAUUCGUUUGACGUGGCUUUGGACGUGGGGGUUGCCGGCUUUCUUCUCAGAGAGCCCUGCUCCCCUGAAAUGCAUUAGUGGUAUCUGGAGUGGAAAACCGCUAGGUGUGAUAAUACUGUCUAUGCCUUUGGUUAUGCCACAAUGUGCUGCUUCCAACCACAUUUUAUUUUGACAAACUUGACCUCAAAUCAGGUAGGACUACCCGCUGAACUUAA